CAUGAACAAGCCAAGGGGAACAAGAAUCUUAUCAAUGCAAACAAGGAGAACCACCCCAAAGAAGCUCAGAGGAUGAGUAAGUGGAAUAUGAGAAGGAUGAAAGCCUGUACAGUUCCUGGACUACCUGCCCAUAUAUCUUCCCUUGAGGAAGAAACACAGUGACAAGAACAGAAACAGGUUCAUACAUUCAGUCUGUAUUUGCUGUUACUAUUAGCAAGGCUUCAUACACCACUCACAGUACAUACACAGGCCAUAGGAUACUUUGAAGGCUGAAUUGAUCCAUUAGCCUGUGGUGCUACAAGCCUGGGCCGCAAUAAUGCUGUAUCCCUCCAGAGGCCUGGCGUGAAAUCAAAUAGGAGCAAUGAGAAUAAAUACGUGUGCCUGAGUCAAAGAAGAAAGGAAGCCACUUCCAGCCUGGCUAAGGAGAAAGAAGCAAGAGUACAGGGAAAAUGGGGACCAGGUCUACCUUUUGCCAGGAGGUAGACUUAUUUAUCUGGUUUGUACAACCUGAUGGUUUUUUGUGUUGCCAUAAUAG
Molecule: long non-coding RNA, 535 nt
Filed under: Mus spicilegus (steppe mouse)
Lineage: Eukaryota; Metazoa; Chordata; Mammalia; Rodentia; Muridae
Description: lncRNA (ENSMSIG00000030758.1)
Source: RNAcentral